CUGGGAUAACUCCGGGAAACCGGGGCUAAUACCGGAUGGUUGUUUGAACCGCAUGGUUCAAACAUAAAAGGUGGCUUCGGCUACCACUUACAGAUGGACCCGCGGCGCAUUAGCUAGUUGGUGAGGUAACGGCUCACCAAGGCAACGAUGCGUAGCCGACCUGAGAGGGUGAUCGGCCACACUGGGACUGAGACACGGCCCAGACUCCUACGGGAGGCAGCAGUAGGGAAUCUUCCGCAAUGGACGAAAGUCUGACGGAGCAACGCCGCGUGAGUGAUGAAGGUUUUCGGAUCGUAAAGCUCUGUUGAUAGGGAAGAACAAGUACCGUUCGAAUAGGGCGGUACCUUGACGGUACCUAACCAGAAAGCCACGGCUAACUACGUGCCAACAGCCGCGGUAAUACGUAGGUGGCAAGCGUUGUCCGGAAUUAUUGGGCGUAAAGGGCUCGCAGGCGGUUUCUUAAGUCUGAUGA
Molecule: ribosomal RNA, 472 nt
Filed under: Bacillus subtilis
Lineage: Bacteria; Bacillati; Bacillota; Bacilli; Caryophanales; Bacillaceae
Description: bacterial SSU rRNA
Rfam family: Bacterial small subunit ribosomal RNA
Source: RNAcentral